This 556-nucleotide ribosomal RNA is filed under the name Bacillus sp. (in: firmicutes). RNAcentral describes it as "bacterial SSU rRNA". It matches the Rfam family "Bacterial small subunit ribosomal RNA", at positions 80 to 619 of the family's 1533-position model. The record is from RNAcentral. Lineage: Bacteria; Bacillati; Bacillota; Bacilli; Caryophanales; Bacillaceae.
UUGCUCUUAUGAAGUUAGCGGCGGACGGGUGAGUAACACGUGGGUAACCUGCCCAUAAGACUGGGAUAACUCCGGGAAACCGGGGCUAAUACCGGAUAACAUUUUGAACCGCAUGGUUCGAAAUUGAAAGGCGGCUUCGGCUGUCACUUAUGGAUGGACCCGCGUCGCAUUAGCUAGUUGGUGAGGUAACGGCUCACCAAGGCAACGAUGCGUAGCCGACCUGAGAGGGUGAUCGGCCACACUGGGACUGAGACACGGCCCAGACUCCUACGGGAGGCAGCAGUAGGGAAUCUUCCGCAAUGGACGAAAGUCUGACGGAGCAACGCCGCGUGAGUGAUGAAGGCUUUCGGGUCGUAAAACUCUGUUGUUAGGGAAGAACAAGUGCUAGUUGAAUAAGCUGGCACCUUGACGGUACCUAACCAGAAAGCCACGGCUAACUACGUGCCAGCAGCCGCGGUAAUACGUAGGUGGCAAGCGUUAUCCGGAAUUAUUGGGCGUAAAGCGCGCGCAGGUGGUUUCUUAAGUCUGAUGUGAAAGCCCACGGCUCAACCGUGGA